Long non-coding RNA from Schistocerca gregaria, 2446 nucleotides. RefSeq lists it as uncharacterized. The transcript is spliced from 4 exons. The record is from RefSeq and is a predicted model, not a curated record. Lineage: Eukaryota; Metazoa; Arthropoda; Insecta; Orthoptera; Acrididae.
ACAGUGAGUGACAGUGACAGUGGCAGUGGCAACUCAAUAUUCAGUGUUUGACAGUGAUGAAGACGAAAAAAGAGUAUAAGUGGUUGCAGAUGACAAACUGUCGGUCAUUGUAGAAACACAAGACGUCAGAAAAACCACACCAUGUGGUAAAAAGAUGGAAAAUAAAAGCCCACUGAGGAUGCUGCAACUGUAGUGAAACAUGUUUGGGUUAUAAAACAAAACUGUGUUUUUGCUAAAGGCGGACCCUAUCCAAAAACAUAUAUAUUGUUAAAGCAAACACGGAAAAAAAGAGCUUCAAUACCAAGAUGAUUAUCAUGCACCCCUUUUUGACAAUCUUAACGUGGAGUAAUGAAUGCCCUGUUUCUUUGUGGUAUUGUAAUUAUGCACACCGUCGUUGCUUUUGAACUGCUGUGGAUUAUUUACUAUAAACUUCACGAGAGUAGAAAUAUACUGUGAAGCAGUAGUCAGAAUGCACAACUCCUUAAACAGAUGUGUAAAAGAAGAUCGUGAGGAGAGCUAGAAGAUCUACAAAUCGUCAGCAAAUGGUUGGUGUGGUAAUCCAGUGGUGUAAAAGAGAUCCUCAGUGAUUGUUUCCUGUGAAAGAUAGUGCAAACGUUUUGUGUUUAAAACUCACACUAAGAAAAAUGGCAACUAGUAAAUCUCGUUGCUGUCUAAACCACCCCGAUAACUUUUGUUAUGUGUGUAGGAAACCCACUCUAAAAGCCCAAAGCAAAGCAGUCACUGAUUUGGUUAAGAAGGCAUAUAAAGUGUAUUUUGAUUGUCCUGUUGGUGAUCAAGAUAAAAAUGUAUCACUUCAUACUGCCUGCAUAACCUGUACUACAGCCUUAACCGAGUGGUUGAAACGAAAACGCAAAGCCAUGUCAUUGAACAUAUAAAAGAGUACUGCCCUCAAUAUAAUGACACUUCGCCUCAGCUCUUUAAUCAAAAAGAACUGAAAGAUUUAGUUCGCGAUCUAAAACUUUCGAAACAGCAACCCGUACUCUUGGGGUCGAGACUGCAACAACGGAACCUUCUAGCUGCAGGGACAAAAAUUUCCUGUUUCAGAUCAAGAGGUGCUUUCUUCGCUCAGUAUUUCGAUAUGCAGAACUCAGUGUGUACAUGUAGAGAUGUCAGCAAUCUGAUGAUGCAGCUCGAUGUACAACAUAAUCCACAAGAGUGGCGAAUAUUUACUGACUCCAGUAAAACUAGUUUGGAAGCAGUACUACUGCAUAAAGGCAAUGCAUUUCUAUCGGUAUCAUAAGUUUCUUUCAUGUCUACUGCGUAAGCCAAAGAUAAAUUUACAGGCUGGAGUCUCGAAAUACUGCUUCUUUUUGUGCCUUUGAGACAGCCGUGACACCAAGAACCACUAUACAGUCAAGGAACGGCCUCUUGUCCCUGUAGCUAGAAGGUUCCGUUGUUGACGACCUAUAAGGAACUCAUAUACUCCUGGAAACGUAAAUGUGUACUAUACCACAGUGGUUGAUCCCGAUAAAAUCAUUUUGACUCCCCUUCAUAUCAAGUUGGGCCUUAUCAAGAGUUAUGUAAAAGCUCUGGAUAAAGAAGGUGAGACCUCCAAUCACUUAAAACAAAAGUUUCCCAAAUUAAGUGAGGCAAAGCAGAAAGACCACAAAUAAGAAAAUUGCUGAAAGAUCCAACCUUUGAUACAAACUCACAGAUAUCCAAUGAGCUGCUUGAUCUUCUUUUAAAGAAAUUGUGAAGGGCUUUUUGGUUAACAGAAAAGACAAAAAGUAUGUUACCACUGUGAAUGAUUUGUUGGAUAACUAUAAGAACAUGGGGUGUAGAAUGUCACUUAAAAUUCACUUUUUACAUUCUCAUCUUGAUUUCUUCCCAGAAAAUUUGGGAGCCGUAAGUGAUGAGCUUUCAUCAAGGUAUUCUUACGAUGGAACACCGUUUCCAAGGCCAUUGGAACCCUUUGAUGAAGGGUGACUACUGCUGGGGUCUUGUUAUGGAGAGUGAUGAAAUGGCAAACAAAAGAAGAGUUCCGUUGUCGCAUUUUUUCAAAAACCAAACACAAUUAAAAUUGAAAAUAUUUUCUGAACUAAUUUGAACCUUUAAUUGACUUCAUGCCCAUGUAUACAUACAAAAUAGUAUUGAUUUUAAACAUUCUUAAUGUGUAUUUUUGUUUGCUUAAUUGUGUCAAUUUUCGCUAUUACCAUUUUUUAUUCCACUGUGUAUCUAGGAAAUGCGACGCAUUGAGGAAAACUGAUUUUACCAGCGUAUUUAGCACCCCAAAAUUAGGUAAAUCCACCCAUUUACAAAGCUGAUGCAGCAAAAAAGUAUGAAUUUGUUAACUAGUGACAGUUGAUAGCUUACCAUUACUUACAUCUUUUAAACCAUUUGCACAUUUCUGUACUUAGAUCAAUCUGAAGAUGAUGAAAACGACUGAAACGUGUAAUUGAAUAAAAAAAUAUUUGUGAUCAGUGAA